Molecule: ribosomal RNA, 201 nt
Filed under: uncultured Pseudomonadota bacterium
Lineage: Bacteria; Pseudomonadati; Pseudomonadota
Description: uncultured proteobacterium partial 16S ribosomal RNA
Rfam family: Bacterial small subunit ribosomal RNA
Source: RNAcentral
AUUGAACGCUGGCGGUAUGCUUAACACAUGCAAGUCGAACGGUAACAUAAGAGAGUCUUGCUCUCUUGAUGACGAGUGGCGGACGGGUGAGUAAUAUAUAGGGAACCUUCCUCAUAGUUUAGGGAUAAGCACUCGAAAGAGUGUCUAAUACUGGAUGUGAACUACGGUUUAAAGCAGGGGAUCUUCGGACCUUGUGACUAU